UACGUAGGGUGCGAGCGUUAAUCGGAAUUACUGGGCGUAAAGCGUGCGCAGGCGGUCUCGUAAGACAGGUGUGAAAUCCCCGGGCUUAACCUGGGAACUGCGCUUGUGACUGCGAGGCUGGAGUGCGGAAGAGGGAGGUGGAAUUCCACGUGUAGCAGUGAAAUGCGUAGAGAUGUGGAGGAACACCGAUGGCGAAGGCAGCCUCCUGGUCCAGCACUGACGCUCAUGCACGAAAGCGUGGGGAGCAAACAGGAUUAGAUACCCUGGUAGUCCACGCCCUAAACGAUGACGACUAGUUGUUGGGGUAGAAGUACCUUAGUAACGCAGCUAACGCGUGAAGUCGUCCGCCUGGGGAGUACGGUCGCAAGAUUA
Molecule: ribosomal RNA, 372 nt
Filed under: uncultured prokaryote
Description: bacterial SSU rRNA
Rfam family: Bacterial small subunit ribosomal RNA
Source: RNAcentral